Molecule: long non-coding RNA, 1448 nt
Organism: Camelina sativa (false flax)
Lineage: Eukaryota; Viridiplantae; Streptophyta; Magnoliopsida; Brassicales; Brassicaceae
Source: RefSeq, a predicted model, not a curated record
UUUUCACCUUAUCUUCUCACUUCUUCACGGCCUCACUUCUUCUUCCUCACCCCCAAAUUUUUUCUUCACCGAUUCACAAUUAUGAAUCCCAGAUUUUGUUUGAACCUCUUUAUCUCUUCUAAAUCCCAGAUUUUGUUUCUCCCUCUUUAUCUCUUCUAUAUCCCAGAUUUUGUUUCUCCCUCUUUCUCUCUUCUAAAUCCCAGAUUUUGUUUCUCCGUCUUUCUCUCUUCUAAAUCCCAGAUUUUGUUCCUCAAAUCAACCCCAACCACUCAACUAUGGAUUACGAAGCAUAUCGUUCUCGUGGAAACCGCUCCACCCAAAACCAACAAGAACCCAAUGGUUCUGGGUCACCGAUUCAAACCCCCUCCGCAAGAGUCUCGGGAUCGCCUACAACUGCCUCACCUCGAAUCCUAAUGACCAUUGAGGAUUUCGUUUCUUAACCAGGACGAGAACUUAUCCCAAAACUUCAUCCCAACUACAUUGGAGAUACUACAUGGUUUGAGGCAUCUGGAAACGGCAUUAGCAAAUCUAUAAAUCGGAUGAUGUAUGGACUCCUCAAAGAACCUUAUGAAACAUACUCCUCAAUGCCAAGUGAUGAUCGUGACCUUUGGUUGAAACAGUUUGCGCAAGAUUUUAACUGGGAGCCACAAAUGACAUCUAGAGUCCGUCGAGAGUUUGACAAAGAGGCAGCGACUCAAUAUUCCAACACGUUAAGUGAGUGGAAGAAAAAGUGGAAGCGCGUAGAAACUCCAAAGGGAAUAAACGACAAGGUGUACGAAGGUUUGCAAGAGUAUUGGGCACAUCACAAGACAAACGAAACUGCUACCCAGAAAUCUAAGAACUGGAAUAGCAUUAGAGGUGGCAAAGGGCGAGCAACAACACAACGUCGGGUCAACAAGCUUCUAUACCCAUGAACUACAACUUACUAAAAGAGAUGGUGUUGCUCCUGAUCACAUAACAUUGAUGGAAGACACCCACACAACCAAAAAGACCAAGCAAAUUCAAGACCCUUUAGCUAAGGAAGUGAUUGCCAAUACUCGUAAGAGGAUGGAGAAGUAUAGCUUAUCCCAACCUUAAGUCGAUGAAAAUGGCUUACCAACACCAAUCCUCGUCGACAAGGAAACUCCACAAACCAAGGGUUGAUUCUUUGGAUUAGGAAAAGUUGCUAAAAGACUAUGUACUGGUUUAUCAUCUUCAUCACCAUUAUAUGAUCGUGAUCCUGAACUUUUGCGUGCCCUCCAAGAGAAAGAUGACCGAAUAGAAGCUCUUGAGAAGAAAGAGAAUGAGAGGAACAAGCUGAGAGAUGAGGAGCUUGCUUCGUUCAUGGCAGAGAUGCGAUCUAAGUUCCCCGUGAAUUCAAGUUCUUAGAUAUAUAAGACUUACAAUAUUUAAGUUUUAUGGAACAUUUUUUUUUUGAUUUGUUUAUAUUACAUUUUCUUUUUGUGGAU